AUUGAACGCUGGCGGCAGGCCUAACACAUGCAAGUCGAACGGUAACAGGAAGAAGCUUGCUUCUUUGCUGACGAGUGGCGGACGGGUGAGUAAUGUCUGGGAAACUGCCUGAUGGAGGGGGAUAACUACUGGAAACGGUAGCUAAUACCGCAUAACGUCGCAAGACCAAAAAGGGGGACCUUCGGGCCUCUUGCCAUCGGAUGUGCCCAGAUGGGAUUAGCUAGUAGGUGGGGUAACGGCUCACCUAGGCGACGAUCCCUAGCUGGUCUGAGAGGAUGACCAGCCACACUGGAACUGAGACACGGUCCAGACUCCUACGGGAGGCAGCAGUGGGGAAUAUUGCACAAUGGGCGCAAGCCUGAUGCAGCCAUGCCGCGUGUAUGAAGAAGGCCUUCGGGUUGUAAAGUACUUUCAGCGGGGAGGAAGGGAGUAAAGUUAAUACCUUUGCUUAUUGACGUUACCCGCAGAAGAAGCACCGGCUAACUCCGUG
This 490-nucleotide ribosomal RNA is filed under the name uncultured bacterium. Its description in RNAcentral is "partial 16S ribosomal RNA". It matches the Rfam family "Bacterial small subunit ribosomal RNA", at positions 30 to 507 of the family's 1533-position model. The record is from RNAcentral.